UAUUGGGGAAAGGAAAUAUGAAUACUAAACCAAAUGACUGUCAAAGGAUGGAAAGGAGAUGAAGAAAGGCCUCAAGAAAGAGGAUAAGGCAGAAGGGCAAGACCAGAUGAAGAAAGGCAAUCAACAACUUGCCUUUAAAGGAAUGAUGAAAUUAUGACUACCGUAUUUACAUGACUUAAACAUGAGGUGCUACCUCAGUGUUUUGUAAAGCACGUUACACGCAUGCAAUAAUUAACAGAGAAGAAGUUGGCACACAGAUGAACAUUUUUCAAGAGCCAUGUAUUUAUUUUAUCGUGUGUAUGGUUUAUGUACCCAUUCACACACAUACGCAUACACAAAUACACCACAUCAAACCUGAAAUUUCAUGGAUUCUAUUGCUUAGGAUGAAGCUAGAAUGAAAAUGGUUUUAUUGAAGGAAAAAUAUUAAAUAAUACACAUAGUACUAGGCUAUGGCAAGAAGCAUGACAGUGAUGAAUGACUGAAGUUUAAGAAAUCUUGGUAAAGGCAAAUGAAAGAGUUUCUUGUGAGAGUGUGGGGAGAACCCUACUCUCCACUGAUCAAAAGUGUGAUUUUUAUUUACAUUGAUUCACUAUUUUCAAAAAGCUAGCUUUAUAUUUUUAGUCAGAUAUUUUCAUCACCUAUGGCGAAAAUUUCCUCGGGAGAAUGUUGCCUAACAAAUGUAUUGGAAAACAACUAAACUUUCUAGAGCUGUGUUUUCUUGUCUGAAGAGUUGAAACUUUAUAAACUAUGUUUUUUUUUUUUUUUUCCACAUUUCCUUACCACUCUAAUCUGUUCUGAUAUUAGGAUUUUUCCCCCAUUUCUCACAAACCUAACAAGUUCUGACUUUUUGGUGGACGACAAAUCCUACCAGUAGAGGGAGCCUUAUUCUGCUUGGAAAGUCCUCUAAGCUCAAGGAUCUUUGCGGAAAACAGGAUCACCCCUCCGUUUGUUUGCUGACCACCACCUCCUUUUACUCUGAGUUAGUCAUUUUACAGUGUCAGCACCAGCCUGUGGAUCUGUCUGACAGCGGAUGUAUUGUCACAGUGCAGUCUGAGAUCCAUCCUUCAGCUUUUCUAAGAAUCCAGUUAGCUACUGCACGAAACAUCUUGUUAAAAUCGCAAUUCUAAGGCCUCUUCUUGGCUUUAUUGUUCCUUCCUGUUCUUUAAAUUUGUAAAUGAUUUUUACCUUUAUGAGCAUAGAAGGCAUUAAACGUCGACUAUACCGGAACAAAAAUUUAUAAUUCCAGCAUGAAUGCAACAAUCAAAACGUUAAUCCAGGACGUGCACAGAUAGACUGGACCAGCGCUGGGUGACGGUGCUCAAGCUUUCUGCUGCAAUGGAAUGGAGUGCACUGACACUCUGCACAAAUACCUGCACAGGGCAGCGUUAUAGAUAACCACUCACUGCUCCCUGAGGGGUUUGAGAUCAUUCGAUGUCUAAGAACUACUACUGGCUUGUAAAUGUCAAGAGAAAUUAUGAACAUUUGUAGAAAAGUAACUGUUUGACUAAUUUCCUGUUCCAUGGAGCAAACACACUGCCCCAUGUAUUUAGAAUCUGGUGCUGACAGCCAGGCCAUGGCAAGCUUCAAGGUUAUAGGAUCAUAAAUGGGAUUAGAUAAGCCAGACAGUGCGGCUCAGACUCCAGCACUUUAAAAAUAUUAUUAAAACCCCAGGAAAGGCAAACAAUUUUGAAGGGAAAGUAAGAUGUAACAGACUCCCACCAAGAGAGAAAAGAAUCUUGGAUAUGAUACUGGAACUUGGUAACCCCUUCCCCCACCCAUCCCCCGCUGCCCCCAGAGCACUUCCAGAGUGCAUGUUAGUUAGAAUCAAUCAACAUUUUAGGACAUAAGACAUAAUGCAACAAGUCGUGCUUUGUAGCUCAGACAGAUUUUUCUAUUUGAUUUGAUCCAUGGUGAAAAAAAAAAAAAAUUUAAGGAAAGAACAAAGAAAACUUAUUGAAAAGACCAAAAUUGACAGUAAGAAGUUGCAGUUCCAGAGAGCAGAAUGCAGUGCCCCACCUGGAAGCCUUUGUGUUUUAAAUUAUCUGUUUCUUUUUAAUUGACCAGAUUAAUUAUUUCCACCUUGCUACUUGGCAGGUAGGGUCACUAUUCCUUUUUACAGCAUUAAUGAACUCAUUCACUUUUUUUCCAUGUAAUUAAGACUGUGAGUUGCAGAUCACAUUCUUAAAUCGGCUUAGUGUACAACCAAUUCAGUCUUUAUUAAACAAAAUAUGUGACAUCAGGUAUUUCUCACUGAAAAAGAGUGUUGAGUUUCUACUGAGUUUUCCUCCAGCUGAGAGAGGAGAGUGGUGACUUUGUUCUUUUUAUUUUUUGGAGAAGAAACACAGACCUGUAAAGGCUGUAGCCUCCAGGGUGGUGUUUCAUACUUAAUAGACUCAAAGUCUGGAGAUUUAAAGGGCAGCUGAUGGAUUCAUGUUCAGGUAUUUCUAUUGCCACCAAAAUUCUGACCAGGUCCUUUCAUGAGCUAUUUGAAAAGAAAUAACUUUGGGUAUGCUGUUAAGUUAGUUAUGUGAAAUAUAUUGCCCUCUUCUGUUAGCUUUAUUUCUAGGCCAUUUAGGAAGCCCUAGGAAUAUUAAGAGUUUCUCAGUGCAUUGACUACAGUAGCCGAACACAGUACAGAAGUCUGUUUGCGGUGUCUACAGUCCUCAAGAGAGCAAACUUUAAGGCAACGCAAACUAUCUCCCAAAGCAUUUGGUUUCAUUCAACUGGAUCUCAAGUUGAUUCCCAGAGGAACUCAAUUUAGAAGUAAAGGGUAAGGUGCUUUAAUCUUUCCAGGACCUGAAUGAGAUUUCUUCCAUUAAAUUGAGUCUGGUGGAGCACCUGAUCAAGAGAGAAACUGAUGGGCAGACAUCAAGAAACUGAUGAACAGACAUCUUAAUGCUGAUCCUCUUUGCCACUAGCAAAAGACAAGCAAAAUACAUUUAAAAUAU
Pongo pygmaeus (Bornean orangutan) is the source of this 2948-nucleotide long non-coding RNA. RefSeq lists it as uncharacterized. Lineage: Eukaryota; Metazoa; Chordata; Mammalia; Primates; Hominidae. The record is from RefSeq and is a predicted model, not a curated record. The transcript has 3 exons.